GACGAACGCUGGCGGCGUGCUUAACACAUGCAAGUCGAACGAGUGGCGAACGGGUGAGUAAUACGUGAGUAACCUGCCCUCUUUUUGGGAUAAGCCUUGGAAACGGGGUCUAAUACCGGAUAAAGGGGGAUGGGCUCGCGGCCUAUCAGCUUGUUGGUGGGGUGAUGGCCUACCAAGGCGGUGACGGGUAGCGGGUCGGAGAGGACGAUCCGCCAGACUGGGACUGAGAAACGGCCCAGACUCCGACGGGAGGCAGCAGUGGGGAAUUUUGGACAAUGGGGGCAACCCUGAUCCAGCCAUGCCGCGUGUAUGAAGAAGGCCUUCGGGUUGUAAAGUACUUUUGUUAGGGAAGCGGUACCUAAAGAAUAAGCACCGGCUAACUACGUGCCAGCAGCCGCGGUAAUUC
RNAcentral lists this ribosomal RNA (406 nucleotides) under uncultured bacterium. RNAcentral's name for it is "partial 16S ribosomal RNA". It matches the Rfam family "Bacterial small subunit ribosomal RNA", at positions 28 to 526 of the family's 1533-position model. The record is from RNAcentral.